CAAUAGCGUAUAUUUAAGUUGUUGCAGUUAAAAAGCUCGUAGUUGGAUUUCGGAUGGGAUUUGCCGGUCCGUCGUUACGAUGUGCACUGGCCAGUCCUAUCUUGUUGUCGGGGACUAGCUCCUUGGAUUCACUUCCUGGGACUAGGAGCUGACGAGGUUACUUUGAGUAAAUUAGAGUGUUCAAAGCAAGCCUACGCUCUGAAUACAUUAGCAUGGAAUAACACGAUAGGACUCUGGCUUAUCUUGUUGGUCUGUGAGACCAGAGUAAUGAUUAAGAGGGACAGUCGGGGACAUUCGUAUUUCAUUGUCAGAGGUGAAAUUCUUGGAUUUAUGAAAGACGGACUUCUGCGAAAGCAUUUGUCAAGGAUGUUUUCAUUAA
This 379-nucleotide ribosomal RNA is filed under the name uncultured eukaryote. RNAcentral describes it as "partial 18S ribosomal RNA". It matches the Rfam family "Eukaryotic small subunit ribosomal RNA", at positions 592 to 976 of the family's 1831-position model. The record is from RNAcentral.